UGUGAAUUCUGUGAACUGCAGGACACAUGAACAUCGACGUUUCGAACGCACAUUGCGGUCCAUGGAUUCCGUUCCCGGGCCACGUCUGGCUGAGGGUCGGCUGCAUAUACUGAAGCUCGGGGCGUUUGUCCCGCUUCGGAGACGUGGGUGUGUCGUGGCGGCCUGUUGGGGCCGUCCACGUCCCCUGAAACGUGCGAUGCGCGCCCGUCGCCUGGCGGUUCGCAUACCGGUACUGUCUCGGUAGCGUGCACAGCCGGCUGGCGGUGUGGCGUGCGACACCUCGUACAACGACCUCAGAGCAGGCGAGACUACCCCCUAAAUUUAAGCA
Molecule: ribosomal RNA, 328 nt
Filed under: Schistocerca flavofasciata
Lineage: Eukaryota; Metazoa; Arthropoda; Insecta; Orthoptera; Acrididae
Description: eukaryotic LSU rRNA
Rfam family: 5.8S ribosomal RNA (bases 1-99)
Source: RNAcentral